GACGAACGCUGGCGGCGUGCUUAACACAUGCAAGUCGAACGGAAAGGCCCUGCUUGCAGGGUACUCGAGUGGCGAACGGGUGAGUAACACGUGGGUGAUCUGCCCUGCACUUCGGGAUAAGCCUGGGAAACUGGGUCUAAUACCGGAUAGGAGCCAUUUUUAGUGUGAUGGUUGGAAAGUUUUUUCGGUGUAGGAUGAGCUGGCGGCCUAUCAGCUUGUUGGUGGGGUAAUGGCCUACCAAGGCGGCGACGGGUAGCCGGCCUGAGAGGGUGGACGGCCACAUUGGGACUGAGAUACGGCCCAGACUCCUACGGGAGGCAGCAGUGGGGAAUAUUGCACAAUGGGCGCAAGCCUGAUGCAGCGACGCCGCGUGGGGGAUGACGGCCUUCGGGUUGUAAACUCCUUGCGCUAGGGACGAAGCUUUUUGUGACGGUACCUAGAUAAGAAGCACCGGCUAACUACGUG
RNAcentral lists this ribosomal RNA (465 nucleotides) under uncultured bacterium. RNAcentral describes it as "partial 16S ribosomal RNA". It matches the Rfam family "Bacterial small subunit ribosomal RNA", at positions 28 to 507 of the family's 1533-position model. The record is from RNAcentral.